This is a small nuclear RNA of Molossus molossus (Pallas's mastiff bat), 106 nucleotides long. The record is from RefSeq and is a predicted model, not a curated record. NCBI's taxonomy places the organism in Eukaryota, Metazoa, Chordata, Mammalia, Chiroptera, Molossidae.
GUGAUCACUUCAGCAGCACAUAUACUAAAAUUGGAACACAGAGAAGGUUAGCGUGGCCCCUGACAAGAAAGAAAAAAACAAACAAGGAGUAGAGAUGAAGUGCUUU